AAUAGAUACCCUGGUAGUCCACGCCGUAAACGAUGUCGACUUGGAGGUUGUUCCCUUGAGGAGUGGCUUCCGGAGCUAACGCGUUAAGUCGACCGCCUGGGGAGUACGGCCGCAAGGUUAAAACUCAAAUGAAUUGACGGGGGCCCGCACAAGCGGUGGAGCAUGUGGUUUAAUUCGAUGCAACGCGAAGAACCUUACCUACUCUUGACAUCCAGAGAACUUAGCAGAGAUGCUUUGGUGCCUUCGGGAACUCUGAGACAGGUGCUGCAUGGCUGUCGUCAGCUCGUGUUGUGAAAUGUUGGGUUAAGUCCCGCAACGAGCGCAACCCUUAUCCUUUGUUGCCAGCGGUCCGGCCGGGAACUCAAAGGAGACUGCCAGUGAUAAACUGGAGGAAGGUGGGGAUGACGUCAAGUCAUCAUGGCCCUUACGAGUAGGGCUACACACGUGCUACAAUGGCGUAUACAAAGAGAAGCGACCUCGCGAGAGCAAGCGGACCUCAUAAAGUACGUCGUAGUCCGGAUUGGAGUCUGC
Molecule: ribosomal RNA, 531 nt
Filed under: uncultured bacterium
Lineage: Bacteria
Description: bacterial SSU rRNA
Rfam family: Bacterial small subunit ribosomal RNA
Source: RNAcentral